This 568-nucleotide ribosomal RNA is filed under the name uncultured bacterium. RNAcentral's name for it is "partial 16S ribosomal RNA". It matches the Rfam family "Bacterial small subunit ribosomal RNA", at positions 355 to 1375 of the family's 1533-position model. The record is from RNAcentral.
UGGGGAAUAUUGCACAAUGGGCGAAAGCCUGAUGCAGCGACGCCGCGUGAGGGAUGGCGGCCUUCGGGUUGUAAACCUCUUUCAGCAGGGAAGAAGCGAAAGUGACGGUACCUGCAGAAGAAGCGCCGGCUAACUACGUGCCAGCAGCCGCGGUAAUACGUAGGGCGCAAGCGUUGUCCGGAAUUAUUGGGCGUAAAGAGCUCGUAGGCGGUUAGUCGCGUCUGCUGUGAAAACUCGAGGCUCAACCUCAGGCUUGCAGUGGGUACGGGCUGACUAGAGUGCGGUAGGGGUGACUGGAAUUCCUGGUGUAGCGGUGGAAUGCGCAGAUAUCAGGAGGAACACCGAUGGCGAAGGCAGGUCACUGGGCCGCAACUGACGCUGAGGAGCGAAAGCAUGGGGAGCGAACAGGAUUAGAUACCCUGGUAGUCCAUGCCGUAAACGUUGGGCACUAGGUGUGGGGUCCAUUCCACGGAUUCCGUGCCGCAGCAAACGCAUUAAGUGCCCCGCCUGGGGAGUACGGCCGCAAGGCUAAAACUCAAAUGAAUUGACGGGGUCAUAGCUGUUUCCU